Molecule: ribosomal RNA, 1000 nt
Filed under: Lacticaseibacillus paracasei
Lineage: Bacteria; Bacillati; Bacillota; Bacilli; Lactobacillales; Lactobacillaceae
Description: bacterial SSU rRNA
Rfam family: Bacterial small subunit ribosomal RNA
Source: RNAcentral
GGUCGCCAGAGUAACUGUUGUUCGGCGUGACGGUAUCCAAACCAGAAAGCCACGGCUUAGCUACGUGCCAGCAGCCGCGGUAAUACGUAGGUGGCAAGCGUUAUCUGGAUUUAUUGGGCGUAAAGCGAGCGCAGGCGGUUUUUUAAGUCUGAUGUGAAAGCCCUCGGCUUAACCGAGGAAGCGCAUCGGAAACUGGGAAACUUGAGUGCAGAAGAGGACAGUGGAACUCCAUGUGUAGCGGUGAAAUGCGUAGAUAUAUGGAAGAACACCAGUGGCGAAGGCGGCUGUCUGGUCUGUAACUGACGCUGAGGCUCGAAAGCAUGGGUAGCGAACAGGAUUAGAUACCCUGGUAGUCCAUGCCGUAAACGAUGAAUGCUAGGUGUUGGAGGGUUUCCGCCCUUCAGUGCCGCAGCUAACGCAUUAAGCAUUCCGCCUGGGGAGUACGACCGCAAGGUUGAAACUCAAAGGAAUUGACGGGGGCCCGCACAAGCGGUGGAGCAUGUGGUUUAAUUCGAAGCAACGCGAAGAACCUUACCAGGUCUUGACAUCUUUUGAUCACCUGAGAGAUCAGGUUUCCCCUUCGGGGGCAAAAUGACAGGUGGUGCAUGGUUGUCGUCAGCUCGUGUCGUGAGAUGUUGGGUUAAGUCCCGCAACGAGCGCAACCCUUAUGACUAGUUGCCAGCAUUUAGUUGGGCACUCUAGUAAGACUGCCGGUGACAAACCGGAGGAAGGUGGGGAUGACGUCAAAUCAUCAUGCCCCUUAUGACCUGGGCUACACACGUGCUACAAUGGAUGGUACAACGAGUUGCGAGACCGCGAGGUCAAGCUAAUCUCUUAAAGCCAUUCUCAGUUCGGACUGUAGGCUGCAACUCGCCUACACGAAGUCGGAAUCGCUAGUAAUCGCGGAUCAGCACGCCGCGGUGAAUACGUUCCCGGGCCUUGUACACACCGCCCGUCACACCAUGAGAGUUUGUAACACCCGAAGCCGGUGGCGUAACCC